GGUAGCACAGAGAGCUUGCUCUCGGGUGACGAGUGGCGGACGGGUGAGUAAUGUCUGGGAAACUGCCUGAUGGAGGGGGAUAACUACUGGAAACGGUAGCUAAUACCGCAUAACGUCGCAAGACCAAAGAGGGGGACCUUCGGGCCUCUUGCCAUCAGAUGUGCCCAGAUGGGAUUAGCUAGUAGGUGGGGUAACGGCUCACCUAGGCGACGAUCCCUAGCUGGUCUGAGAGGAUGACCAGCCACACUGGAACUGAGACACGGUCCAGACUCCUACGGGAGGCAGCAGUGGGGAAUAUUGCACAAUGGGCGCAAGCCUGAUGCAGCCAUGCCGCGUGUAUGAAGAAGGCCUUCGGGUUGUAAAGUACUUUCAGCGGGGAGGAAGGUGUUGUGGUUAAUAACCGCAGCAAUUGACGUUACCCGCAGAAGAA
Molecule: ribosomal RNA, 430 nt
Filed under: Enterobacter sp.
Lineage: Bacteria; Pseudomonadati; Pseudomonadota; Gammaproteobacteria; Enterobacterales; Enterobacteriaceae
Description: bacterial SSU rRNA
Rfam family: Bacterial small subunit ribosomal RNA
Source: RNAcentral